GACGAACGCUGGCGGCGUGCCUAACACAUGCAAGUCGAACGAAAAGUCCCUGCUUUUGUGCGCUGCUCGAGUGGCGAACGGGUGAGUAACACGUGAGUAACCUCUCCUUCACUGUGGGAGAUCUUCAUGAAACUGAGGCUAAUACCGCAUAGGAGCUCUUGCUUCAUGGUGGGCGUUGGAUAGUUUCGGUGGUUGGGGAUGGACUCGCGCCUCAUCAGCUUGGUGCUGAGGUAGUGGCUUACCAAGGCUUUGACGGGUAGCCGGCUUGAGAGGGGUAGCGGCCACGUCGCGACUGAGAUACGGCACAGACUAGAAUCGGACGCAGGAGUGGAGAGUAUUACAUAAUGGGAGGAAGCAUGAUGUAGCAAAGCCGCGUGCGGGAUGACGUGAUGCGGGUUGUGAACCACUUUCGCCUGUGCCGAAGCGUGAGUGACGGUAACGGGUAAAGAAGCACCGGCUAACUACGUG
RNAcentral lists this ribosomal RNA (468 nucleotides) under uncultured bacterium. Its description in RNAcentral is "partial 16S ribosomal RNA". It matches the Rfam family "Bacterial small subunit ribosomal RNA", at positions 28 to 507 of the family's 1533-position model. The record is from RNAcentral.